CUUACAUGUUUUGUUGUUGUUGUUGCUUGCUUUUUGGGACAAGAUCUCACUCUGUAGCCCAGGUUGGAGUGCAGUGUCCCAUCAUAGCUCACUGCAGCCUUGACGUCCUGAGCUCAAGCAAUCCUCCCACCUCAGCUUCCGGGAUAGCUGAGACCACAGGCACAAGCCACCAUGCCCAGCUUAUUCUUUUUGGAGAUAUGGGGUCCCACUAUGUUGCCCAGGCUGGCCUCCAACUCCUGAGCUCAAGCGAUCCUCUCCUGCCUUGGCUUCCCAAAGUGCUGGGAUCACAGGCGUGAGCCACUGUGCAGGCCUUAUAUGAUCUUAAGCCUCUUCAUAUCCUGAACUAAAUGUAACUUUCCAGUUUCGGCACUUGUUCUGGCACUUUUCCUCCCUCGCUAGAUAAUACUAAUCUUUAAUCAUGUAGUUUGUUUCCAUGCCCAUACUACCCUAUCUGCUUAUAGUGUCUUCCACUUCGCCCAAGAAAUCCUACUCAGCUAGCUUGUGUUGUUUUGAGACACUCUCGUUCUGUCGCCCACGCUGGAGUACAGUGGCGAGAUCUCGGUUCGUUGCAACCUCUUCAUCCCGGGUUCAAGCGAUUCUCGGCCCUACUCAGCCUUUAAAACCGGAAUCACGGGUCAAAACUUUCUGGUAAACCACGAGACGGUUUAGGUUAUGAAAUUCAAUGCCCCCUUCCUCUGAAGUCCUGCAAAUCUCCAGUAAAGCACCACAGAUUGACGAAUAUUCCAGCCAUUUCCCUCUCCCCUCCGAUAGCUCCAUUUCUCACUUCUAUCCAUCUUCUCGAGCUUCCUCAGCUCCUCCACCUCCAUGAGGCCUGGAAAGCACCUGGUUCCAGGAAUGUGAGUCGGAGGCUCAGAGCUACCAGCGCCAAAAGCUGACGUUCAGAUACUGCUGAAACAAACCACAAGAGUGCUAAGGCUCCAGGUAAUAGUCCGGCUCCAGGUAAUAGUCCAGCUGGGAUGACGGUAGGAACUCACAGGCCCGCCGGCGGUGCAUGCCGGGAGAUACAGUCCCGGGCCGACGCAUUACCUCUUGGGAGUUGUAGUCUUAGAUCUGGUAAACAGACCACAGCAACUCUGAUGUCUUCCCCCACCGUCCCCCGAAAACCCUCGCCCCACCCGCGAGGGACUAGGGUAAGAGUAGGGGCGUUGCCGUGGUUGGCCUAGAACUCCCAGGCUCAGACGAUCCUCUCGCCUCGGCCUCCCGAGUUAGUUGGGACUACGCGCGUGAGCCACCGCGCCCGGCAUAAAGUCUGAAUUAGUCCUUACGCAAAAAGGGAAGAGGGCAGUCCGUAACCUCGCGCAGGAUCAAGCUCUCGAGUUCC
RNAcentral lists this long non-coding RNA (1342 nucleotides) under Macaca fascicularis (crab-eating macaque). RNAcentral's name for it is "lncRNA (ENSMFAG00000054230.1)". Lineage: Eukaryota; Metazoa; Chordata; Mammalia; Primates; Cercopithecidae. The record is from RNAcentral.